GGUAACAAAGUGCGAAUAGGCGCGGGAAGACGUAGGGGGGAAGAGUUGUACGGAUGCAUUGGGCUGAAAGAGCGUGUAGGAGGCAGGGUAGGUCGGUAGUGAAAACUAGAGGCUGAACCGUCAGAGGUCGACCGAAACGAACUGGCUAGAGUCCGGGAGAGGAGAGUGGAAGUCCUGGUGUAGCGGUGAAAUGCGCAGAUAUCAGGAAGAACACCCGUGGCGAAGGCGGCUCUCUGGAACGGUACUGACGCUGAGACGCGAAAGCGUGGGGAGCGAACAGGAUUAGAUACCCGAGUAGUC
Molecule: ribosomal RNA, 300 nt
Filed under: uncultured Bacillus sp.
Lineage: Bacteria; Bacillati; Bacillota; Bacilli; Caryophanales; Bacillaceae
Description: bacterial SSU rRNA
Rfam family: Bacterial small subunit ribosomal RNA
Source: RNAcentral